ACCCCACCUCUUUUCCUCCUCUGCCAUCUCAGGCUGGCGGGGAGCGGGUUUGCGUCUACGGAAAGCCGGCGACGAUGCUGCCGAAAAUAACCCGGGUGCUGCGCAGGGCGGAGGGGGGGCGGGCGAGGCCCGCCUCGGCCGCGCCCGCACUGACCGCCACCCACCCCGUGCGGCCGGGGGCGUCCGCGCUCAGAGCCACUCACCCACACUCCUCGCCGCCGCGCAGCCCGCAGCCCGGAAGACUUGCACGUGCGUGUUUUAGCCGUUAACUCCCGGCUUCCGUCUCCAAACGCUGCCUUCCACGCCCCGGAUGAGAGAGAAAUGCUCUUUGGAGCCGUGCGUGGAACAAUCCUCUCCGUGCUCCGGAACCAGACCCACAAUUCCAUCGUUAAGCCGCGGGCUCUGGGGCUGCUGGCCUCAGGGUCCCAGCACCCCCACUUCUUCAGGCUCCGGAUCUGGGGGGCCCCCCGGAAAAGUGCCCGCCUCUUAAAGUUGCCGGAGGGGCUCCCUGGGCUGAUAGGUGUGGCAGGGCAGGGUAAGGAUUGUAUGAAAACCGACUCGCGGGGCACAGUGGCCCCUGGGAAGGACAUUCCUUCUCCCACACCCAGACUUGGAAAUCAGCAGACCCCAAAGUUCGGCGCGUGAGAGCAAAUGUGUUUGCAAGCGGAUGAUUCCUGGUGACCCUCACAGGUGCAUAUGCCUCUCCUCCCUUCCUCCCAGACCCAGGCACUUUGGCCGCAGGAAACCCGGAACCGUCCGGGGAUUGUUGGCUAAUAAGAACACGUUUGCUAGCACAGAAGCUCACGUGAAGAGUUGUUCUCCCACCACCGGACACCCUGGGGCACCUUCAACUGGCCCAUUCCAACAUUCUCUGCCAUCCGGAUGAUGGACACGGAGUACGACUUGGAAGUCCCGCCGUGGCAGCCCCCGGCUGCCCUUCCUUGGUGAGUGGCUCAGUGUGAAAGAGAACGCGCUCUGUAAGUCUCCGGAUGGCGCUCCUGGUGGAGACCUGGUGAGCAGAGAAGGAAAAACUACCCCGGGAUGAGCCUUUACUCCAAUGAGGUCCCACGGAAUCACUGUGCUCCCAGGGGGCUGGCGGGUCACGGGGGCGCGUGGCGUGGCUCUGGGUUGGUCUCAGCUGCUGGUCUCAGACUGAGCGGGAGGCGCGGCAGUAGCCUGGGCUGGGGAUGAGCGAGGUCGUCAAGCCCGUGUGGAAUCGCCAUCACGCUACGACUGGGGCUCCUUCCGUGAGUGGCGUGUGCCGACAGGGGAAGCGGCUGGCUGCCACCUGCAGAACAGGUGUCUCCCCAUCUGCCGGGCAUGCGUGUGGAACACGGAUAUUCCCACACCUGAGCCCGCUCCAAAAAGUCCAUCCAGACCCCCUUGACCCCAUCCUCCGAAGUGGUUCCUUCUCGGUCCCUGAUCAGCAGCGUAGGGGAAUAUGUCAGCUCACUCUCCUUCCAAGGAAAGUGGAAAACCAAACAUGCUGCUUGCAGUCACCCACUGGGUGGGCUCCCCUCCACCAUCACCACCCCCACCCCCAACUGGGGCCCGUUCCAGCAGUGCCCCAGCCAAGAGCGUCACCGCACACAGAAUCAUGUGCACGGCAGGCUCCAUUUCUCAGCCAUCAGUCAGUGGGUUUUAGGUUGCUGGUCAUAAAUCUAAAGAAGCCAGUGGAGGGAAGGUGAGGGGGUCAGCUACCUGCUCAGGCAGCCUAUUUACAUGUUACUUGAGAACAAUCUCGUCUCAGCCUGCACAGGCGGCCACAACAAAAUCCUACAGACUGGGGGGCUUUAACAACACGUGUAUUCUCUUGUUGUUCUGGAGCUGGAAGUCCAAGAUCUGGGUGCUGGCAGGGGCUGGUUUCUGGUGAGGCCUCUGUCCUGAUGAGUGCGGGUUCAGGCUCACUUGCAAUGAUCCCCUAAAGGUCUAGUGUUUUCCUUUCCCUUGUGCACGAUCUGGGGAGUGUGGCUACAGGUCCUUUUCUGAAAGGCCAGGGGGAAACUUUGCGAAUACUCACGGUGUUAACACAGGAUCCUUCCCCAGGGACACCCAACCUCUCCUUAAUUAAAAGGAUGUGGUGUCUGUGAACUGAUUCAGGUCUGACCGUCGUGUGAGGGCGGUGACUUCUAGGAUAGUGACUCAAGUCCGCUUCUGCUCACUAAAUUUAGAGUUUGCUAUUUUGGUCAGACGGGCUGAAUAGGCCCUUAGGGGGCUUCUCAUCUAAAGGCUGAGGGAGACAGGCAAGAUGGAGGGGAUUUAUCAUGUGCACCCCUCCCACACACCUGCUGUUUCCCCCAGCAUGGCAUAAAGGCUCUCCCCUCCCCGAGGCAUUAAGGCAGACAUUGUCAGGGCAGGCGCCUGAAUCCCGGGGAAGCCUUGGAGUGGCUGUUCCCACCACUGGUAGUGGUGCCACCAUGAAAUGAGCAGUCCUGGAUAAGGGAACAGCAUGAGUACAGUCACUAUAAUCACAACUUCUCUAUAUAUUUGAAUGUUUUUCAAAACAAAAGGUAAACAUGGAUAUGAAGAUUAUAUAAAGCACAACAACCGUUUACAACAUAAAAUUGUACCGGUUCAGAGGCAGCUGGGUGGCUCAUUGGUUAAGCAUCCAACUCUUGGUUUUGACUCAGGUCAUGAUCUCAUAGUUUGUGACAUCAAGCCCCAUGUCGGCUCUGCACUGACAGCGUGGAGCCUGCUUGGGAUUCUCUCUUCCUCUCUCUCUGCCCCUCCCCUGUUCUCUCUCUCUCUCAAAAAUAAAUAAAUAAACUUAAAAAAAAUAUUGUGCCAGUUCAGUGUCUCUAGCAGCAAAUUCAAAACAAAACAAAACAUAGGAGUGCCUGGGUGGCUCAGUCAGUUAAGCAUCCGACUCUUGAUCUCAGCUCACGUAAUGAUCCCAGGGUCAAUCAGGAGCCCUGCAUUGAGCCACAAUGAGCAUGGGGCCUGCUUGAGAUUCUCUGUGUGUGUGUCUCUCACUCUCUCUCUCUCUGUCUCAAAAUAAAAAUUGGAAACUCAGACAGGGUUGGAAAAACACUCAUGAACAGAGAGUUCUGGUUCUAGAUAAAAUGGAGUGAGCACACUCCCCCCCCCCCAUUUCUGUCCUAAAUGCAGCCAUAAAAUCUGAACAGAAAGCAUGGAGUAGCUAUUUAAGAAUUCUGGAAGGUAAAUGGUAGCAGGUAGAUUGGGGGGAAAGACCAGAAUUUGGAGCACCAUCACCCGGUUGUGAGUUUCUGUUACUUCCCAGCCUGGAUUAAAUCCAGCCCCAACCUGGAAGUGGGCAUGGGCUGAACAGAGAGCAUUCUAAGAGACGCCUUCCAAUUCUAGUUCAAGAAAUAGUUAAGGGCAAAACUAAAAGGCAACUGAUGUAAUGGGAGAAGAUAUAUGCAAAGAGAAUAUCGGAUAAAGGGUUAGUAUCCAAAAUCUAUAAAGAAUUUAUCACACUCAACACCCCAAAAAUGAAUAAUCCAGUGAAGAAAUGGGCAAAAGACAUGAACAGACACUUUUCCAAAGAAGACAUCCAGAUGGCUAACAGACACAUUAAAAGAUGCUCAACAUCACUCAUCCUCAGGGAAAUACAAAUCAAAAUCACGAUGAGAUACCACCUCACACCUGUCAUAAUGGUGAAAAUAACUCAGGAAACAACAGAUGUUGGCAAGGGUGUGAAGAAAGGAGAAUCUUUCUGCACUGCUAGUUGGAAUGCAAGCUGGUGCAGCCAUUCUGGAAAACAGUAUGGAGGUUCCUCAAAAAAUUAAAAAU
Long non-coding RNA from Neofelis nebulosa (Clouded leopard), 3753 nucleotides. RefSeq lists it as uncharacterized. The transcript has 2 exons. Lineage: Eukaryota; Metazoa; Chordata; Mammalia; Carnivora; Felidae. The record is from RefSeq and is a predicted model, not a curated record.